CUGGGUAUGUCUUCCACCAGUCAUUCCGUUUUUGUCCCUACAUCCAUCCUCUUCUCGGACGCACUGGUGCUUUCAUGGUCAGCUUCAGCGGCUCAAAGUGAGAGAAACGGGGAGACAGAAGGAGGAAUUGGACUACGGUGGUGAUACGAGUUUGGGCUGUAAUUCUGUGUGUUGGACCCUUCACCCACCGUACCUGUGGUAUGACCUUAUUUGGAAAUAGGGUCUUUGCAGGUGAUCAAGCUAAGAUGAUUGAGUUAAGGUCAUUAGGAUGGACCCUGAUCCAGCAUGACUGCGCCCUUAUAACAAAGGGAAAUUUGGGCACAAAGAGAGACAUGCAUAGAGGGAAGACAAUGUGAAGACACAAGGAGAAUGCCUGAGGCUGCCAGAAGCUAGGAGGGAGGCAUGGAACAGGCGCCCCCUCACAGACCUCAGAAGAAACCAUCCCGGCCCACACCAUGGUUUUGGGCUUCCAACCUCCAGAACUGGGAGACAAUAAAUUUCUCUUGUUUAAGCCUCCAGUUAGCAGGACUUUGUUAUGACAGACCCAGGAAACUAACACAAUGGCCAAAGUGAGGCUUGAAGGAUGAUUGGAAACUUCCAGUGAAUAAGGCGGAAGAAUAUUCUAGCAAAGAGAAACAGCUCAGGCCACGCUGCAGAGGUGGGAGACAGCAUCCACACUGCAACAACUCCUUGCAGGUAGUAAGGCCAGAUCAUGGGACCCCACGGAGGGGAUGAGGCUGGAGAAACAGGCAUAGCCAGAUAAUAAAAGACAUUUUUGCCCAACACUUUAUUCUGAGGACAAUUGGAAGCAACCUAAGAGUUUAAGUAGGAGCGGGUAGGUAACACGAUCACAAUUAUGCUGUAUUUUAGGAAGAGCACACUUGAAGGAGCUUUGAGAUUGGACUGGAAGGAGGUGGGAAGGGGAGACUGAGGACAAAUACCAUCAUUUGGAGGCUGUUUUUGCAGGAGUCCAGAUGGGAAGUGCCACUGAACCAAGGCAGUGUUAGUGGUGUGGGGGGAUGGGAGUGGAGCCUAGGGACAGAAAGGACCUGGGGAUUAACUGAACUGGGG
This 1071-nucleotide long non-coding RNA is filed under the name Equus caballus (horse). RNAcentral's name for it is "lncRNA (ENSECAG00000053641.1)". Lineage: Eukaryota; Metazoa; Chordata; Mammalia; Perissodactyla; Equidae. The record is from RNAcentral.